UGGCGAACGGGUGAGUAACGCGUGAGGAACCUGCCUCAAAGAGGGGGACAACAGUUGGAAACGACUGCUAAUACCGCAUAAGCCCACGGGUCGGCAUCGGCCAGAGGGAAAAGGAGCAAUCCGCUUUGAGAUGGCCUUGCGUCCGAUUAGCUAGUUGGUGAGGUAACGGCCCACCAAGGCGACGAUCGGUAGCCGGACUGAGAGGUUGAACGGCCACAUUGGGACUGAGACACGGCCCAG
RNAcentral lists this ribosomal RNA (240 nucleotides) under uncultured bacterium. RNAcentral describes it as "partial 16S ribosomal RNA". It matches the Rfam family "Bacterial small subunit ribosomal RNA", at positions 96 to 334 of the family's 1533-position model. The record is from RNAcentral.